This 85-nucleotide small nucleolar RNA is filed under the name Aspergillus niger. RNAcentral's name for it is "a. fumigatus snoRNA Afu_190". It matches the Rfam family "A. fumigatus snoRNA Afu_190", at positions 3 to 79 of the family's 100-position model. The record is from RNAcentral. Lineage: Eukaryota; Fungi; Ascomycota; Eurotiomycetes; Eurotiales; Aspergillaceae.
AUGAUGAGAACUCAUAGCUGGCACCAGUCAGACGGGGAUGUUUUUACGAAUUCAUCUUCCAUGCUGAGUAGCUUGCGGUCCGGGA